GGUGUAUAUAUACUUUGUAUAUAUAGUGUACUGUGUGUAGGUGGCACACACGCACACAUUACUUUAACCUAUGAGAAACACAUACAUUCUCCUCACUUCAUGCUGACAUGAAUUGACCAAGUGGAUUAGUUCUUUCAAAGAAAUUCACACAUUCAAUUUCUAAAUAGCCGGCCUGGUCUCAUAGACUAGACGUAACAUAGUAAACAUCAAUCCGGGGCAAUCAAAUUAGUAUGAUAUGUUAUAUUUGGUUUGGUUACAAAAGACACAAGGUACUUUAGGCAAAUAUUAAAGUUGGGACGUCUAGCAACCCAAAGGUUGCGUGUUUGAAUCUCAUCACGGACAGCUUUAGCUAAUUUGCAACUUCGCAUAUAAGCUAACCCUUCCCCUAACCUUAACCCCUAGCCUAACUAACGUUAGCCACCUCGCUAACAUUAGCGACAACAUAUUGGAAUUCAUAACAUAGGUUUAGCAAAUGUGUAACAUAUUGUAGGAAUUGUAAUUCGUAACAUAUUCAAAAUGGAUGGACAUCCAAGUAAUUAAAACGAAACAUAAAAUAGACUAAUUGGAGUGUCCCAGACAUUUACUAUGUUGUGUACCCGAGUCAAGGUUGAAAUAUAAAUGAGUGCCAUUUAGAUUGUGAGUAACUAGCACUGUGAACACCAACCCAGGGAGACAACCAACCCCGGUCUCCUCUACUUAUUGAGGAACUGAAAAGCAGUGUUGGUUUCUUGUGUUCUGAAGCUAUCCCAAAGCUUUUCAACCACAUCUUACUCUGUCUCCCUCCGUCGCCCAGCUCUGUCCCCUACAGUCUCUUUCCCAGAGGAGUCCGAGCCUACAGAGCUGGAGGCCAUAGAACAGGAGCUACAUGAUCUGGUGGAAAGAGAACAGGAGCUACUACAGAUACAGACAGACAACAACAUUGGACCGGAUCAUAAACCACUGUCAGACUAUACAGAGGAUCUCAUUGCCCCCUAUCAAGGAGUGUAUGUCCUACCGAGUAACACACCAGAGAACAUGAAACAAUAUACACAGGCUACACCUCCUGCUGCGCCAGAGGCCCCAGAGGACAUAGUGGAGGUGGAGAAGCUCAAUAGUGACCCAGCGAUCGUCCAAUGCCCUAUCUGCGAGCAGGUCAUCACCACGGAAACAUAUCGCAAAAUAGGAGGGGCAGCCUGGAUGCUAUGCCUUGUGUCCAGCAUGUUAGGGUGUGUGGCUGGGUGCUGUCUCAUCCCCUUCUGCUUGGACAACCUAAAGGACGUCAGACAUCGAUGCCCUGAGUGUCACAGCAACAUCUACACCGCAGAACGGAUGUGAAGACAGAAUGGUACUUCUACAGAUACUAUAUCACUGGCUACUGUUUCUUUGGUGUUGGAUGGAGGGAGACAGUGAAUGGAGUGGUUGGAUGGGCGUUAUGCCCUCUGAACUGUGGGACAUUAGAAGGCGAGAGACUGGACAGCUCUAAUGACACCUGGUGGCAGAUGCCGUACAGUACUGUGUUAUGAUCACAGUUUGAGGGGAUGGAGAUUGUUGUUGGGGUGAUAGUUUCUUUCUUGAAAAAGUUGGGAGGAUGAUCCUAAAAAGCACUAUGAAUCUUGAGCAGUGUCCAGCUGUGACAGCAUUUGGUUCUAUCAACGGUGCAGAAUCCAACAGAACCUGAGAAGACUUUCUGACCAAAAUGAUGGACUGGAAUAACACAUACUGAAAGAAUAUAGCGUUCCUUGCUUCAUUAUCUGUAGAACAUACGUUUGUAUAUUCUAAGAGAGAAAAUGUUUCUACUCACCAGAGACUGUAUGAGAACAUGAUCAUUGAAGGCUAAUCAACGCAUUGUUCAUGCAAAUGUCAAAGGGAAAGCAGGUGAUGCAUUGACAGUAAGCCAUUUACCACACAACCACCUAGGAUUUAUGAAAAUGAAGACAAACAUUUACCAGCAAGCAACAAUAGCCUGUAUAUUCUACUUCCCUCUUUCUUUACAGUGACAAAGGUCAACGUAAGUGAAUUAACCUGGCAAAUGUUGUGAACUGUAAUUUUCUAUUUUCCUUUCAAGUGUUUUGUUUAAUCUUGUGGAACUACAGAACAUCAAAUCUAAUAAUGCCUCAAAUGCUUACUACUUUUAUAUAGCACAAUUAUACAACGGAGUAUGAUGCUGUGUUUGUUUUUGACAGCUUAACAUCAUUUCAAAAGAUAUUCACAGUAGAACUUUAACAAUAAUCUCAGCAGCCCAGGACCAAACCUCACGUGAGCGCUGGCCUCCAGCCGCAGAUGUUAGGAGACUCACAAUGCACCACAUUUUAUUGACACAAAAGGCAUUCAGUACAUACGUUUUCAUAUUAUUUACAAAAUAGAUACAAUGGAUGUGCUACACAUGUAUAAAAAUAUGCAUGACAAGUGUGUACACAAUGUGCAAAAUGUAUGUAUGGUGUACAGAUGACAGACUUGACAGUGUGUGUGUGUGGGGGGGGGGG
Non-coding RNA from Oncorhynchus mykiss (rainbow trout), 2462 nucleotides. Lineage: Eukaryota; Metazoa; Chordata; Actinopteri; Salmoniformes; Salmonidae. The record is from RefSeq and is a predicted model, not a curated record.